GAUGAACGCUGGCGGCGUGCCUAAUACAUGCAAGUCGAGCGAACGGACGAGGAGCUUGCUUUUCUGAUGUUAGCGGCGGACGGGUGAGUAACACGUGGAUAACCUACCUAUAAGACUGGGAUAACUUCGGGAAACCGGAGCUAAUAGCGGAUAAUAUUUUGAACCGCAGGGUUCAAAAGUGAAAGACGGUCUUGCUGUCACUUCUAGAUGGAUCCGGGCUGCAUUAGGUAGUUGGUAAGGUAACGGCUUACCAAGGCAAGCAUGCAUAGCCGACCUGAGAGGGUGAUCGGCCACACUGGAGCUGAGCCGCGGCCCCGACUCCUACGGAAGGCAGCAGUAGGGAAUCUUCCGCAAUGGGCGAAAGCCUGACGGAGCAACGCCGCGUGAGUGAUGAAGGGCUUCGGGUCGUAAAACUCUGUUAUUGGGGAAGAACAUAUGUGUAAGUAACUGUGCACAUCUGGACGGUACCUAUUCAGAAAGCCACGGCUAACUACUU
RNAcentral lists this ribosomal RNA (496 nucleotides) under uncultured bacterium. RNAcentral describes it as "partial 16S ribosomal RNA". It matches the Rfam family "Bacterial small subunit ribosomal RNA", at positions 28 to 506 of the family's 1533-position model. The record is from RNAcentral.